UGCUAUGGCUCAGUUGGUAGAGCGUCGCCUUGGUAAGGCGGAGGUCACGGGUCCGAAUCCCGUUAGCA
RNAcentral lists this transfer RNA (68 nucleotides) under uncultured Butyrivibrio sp. It matches the Rfam family "tRNA". Rfam says of the family: Transfer RNA (tRNA) molecules are approximately 80 nucleotides in length. Their secondary structure includes four short double-helical elements and three loops (D, anti-codon, and T loops). The record is from RNAcentral. Lineage: Bacteria; Bacillati; Bacillota; Clostridia; Lachnospirales; Lachnospiraceae.